CACGUAGGGCGCAAGCGUUGUCCGGAAUUAUUGGGCGUAAAGAGCUCGUAGGCGGUCUGUUGCGUCCGCUGUGAAAACUCGGGGCUUAACCCCGAGCCUGCAGUGGAUACGGGCAGACUAGAGGUAGGUAGGGGAGAAUGGAAUUCCCGGUGUAGCGGUGAAAUGCGCAGAUAUCGGGAGGAACACCGGUGGCGAAGGCGGUUCUCUGGACAGUUCCUGACACUGAGGCACGAAGGCCAGGGGAGCAAACGGG
This 253-nucleotide ribosomal RNA is filed under the name uncultured bacterium. RNAcentral's name for it is "partial 16S ribosomal RNA". It matches the Rfam family "Bacterial small subunit ribosomal RNA", at positions 524 to 776 of the family's 1533-position model. The record is from RNAcentral.